Macrosteles quadrilineatus (aster leafhopper) is the source of this 937-nucleotide long non-coding RNA. RefSeq lists it as uncharacterized. The transcript has 7 exons. The record is from RefSeq and is a predicted model, not a curated record. Lineage: Eukaryota; Metazoa; Arthropoda; Insecta; Hemiptera; Cicadellidae.
AAAGUUUAGUGUAAACAUAUUAAUUUAUUUAUGCUUAAUUUCUCUUUAAAGGAUACCUACCCUUUGAAGUAACCUCCAGCGAAAGGUUUCAAGGCGAGCGCUCUGCCGGCAGCUGCGACAUUCAUGUGUUUCAGGUUGUAUAUGUUGGGGAGGUUGGGAUGGACCGGCUAAUUCAUCAGCUGUUGGCCGCUGUCUAGCAACAUCAGCUGGGGUAUUCACUGUUGAAGGUGUUUGGGAUAUAGCUGAAGUUGAAGGUUGUACUCGUCUGGAAGGUUGGGAUGGUCCAGCUAAUUCAUCAGCUGUUGCUGUCUGCUGUCUAGCAACACCAGCUGGGGUAUUCACUGUUGAAGGUGUCUGGGAUAUACCUGAAGUUGAAGGUUGUACUCGUCUGGAAGGUUGGGAUGGUCCAGCUAAUUCAGCAGUCAUUGCUCGCCGCAUUGCAACAUUAGCUGACGACGACCUAUCUACAGAUAGCCAAAUUCCAUCGGUUGAGGAUGCCUGGGCUACAGCUGAAGUUGAAGCUGAUCUUAGAAUAUCACGAUCAUCUUGAAAGAAGGAAUCUCUUGAACUCUGACUUGGUGGAACUACAGAUCCAGGGCUUGAAGGUGGUGAAUCUAUGAUGCUUGAAUUUGGGCUUGAUGGUGAACUAGCUGGUGUUCGGAGCUAGCUUCAGAGGAGGAGAUCCUAACUGUCCAUUAUGGACAGUUUAGGGAAUACGUGGCCGAGUGCAGCCACGAGAUUGAGGAAGAGGACGAGGAGCAAGAAGAAGAAAUAGAAGAAGAUGAAGGAAUUGUGGCCGAUUUAGAAGAAAAUUGAUGGCUGCCCCUCUCCUCCUCCUCUACUAGCACUAAGUAUUUAGUUGUAGAAAUAUCAAAAUAUGUAUAUAAUAUAAAUAGAAAUAAUAUAAGUUUGUAUAUAUAAAUAAAUUCAUAUUUAG